ACGCUCGAUACCUACGGAGGCAGCAGUGGGGAAUAUUGCACAAUGGGGGAAACCCUGAUGCAGCGACGCCGCGUGGAGGAAGAAGGUCUUCGGAUUGUAAACUCCUGUUGUUGGGGAAAAAGAGGAUGGUACCCAACAAGGAAGUGACGGCUAACUACGUGCAAGCAGCCGCGGUAAUCUGAGCGGGCUGGCAAGGC
Molecule: ribosomal RNA, 197 nt
Filed under: uncultured bacterium
Lineage: Bacteria
Description: partial 16S ribosomal RNA
Rfam family: Bacterial small subunit ribosomal RNA
Source: RNAcentral